CCUACGGGAGGCAGCAGUGGGGAAUAUUGGACAAUGGGGGGAACCCUGAUCCAGCGACGCCGCGUGAGUGAAGAAGUAUUUCGGUAUGUAAAGCUCUAUCAGCAGGGAAGAAAGAAAUGACGGUACCUGACUAAGAAGCCUCGGCUAACUACGGGCCAGCAGCCGCGGUAAUACGUAGGGGGCAAGCGUUAUCCGGAUUUAAUGGGUGUAAAGGGAGCGUAGACGGCGAGGUAAGUCAGAAGGGAAAGGCGGGGGCCCAACCCCCGGACUGCAUUGGAAACUGUAUGGCUGGAGUGCAGGAGAGGUAAGUGGAAUUCGUAGUGUAGCGGUGAAAUGCGGAGAUAUUAGGAGGAACACCAGUGGCGAAGGCGGCUUACUGGACUGUGACUGACGUUGAGGCUCGAAAGCGUGGGGAGCAAACAGGAUUAGAUACCCCAGUAGUC
Molecule: ribosomal RNA, 443 nt
Filed under: uncultured bacterium
Lineage: Bacteria
Description: partial 16S ribosomal RNA
Rfam family: Bacterial small subunit ribosomal RNA
Source: RNAcentral